ACCCCUUCACCCGGUGCGCCUGGGCCGUGUCCGGGCCCACGCCGGACCCGCCGGGCCCUCGAUCUUGCGCGUGGCCCCGCCGGGCCCUCGAUCUUGCGCGUGGCCCCGCACCCAGCCCUCCCCGGAGCUCAGGUGCACUGGGCCGGGAGACACCGCUGGGCUGCGCGGCGUGGGAAGAGCCUGCAGAGCGCGUGGUGGGGACCUGGUGGCAGGAGGAACAGCAUCAGCCCUGGUCGCACCACUUUCCCCGCUCCCCCAACCCAGGAGGCUGCCUCCAGGGAAGACCUGGGGUCCUUCCUGCGCUCAGCGCUGGCUGGCUGUCCUGUUCAUGCAGUGGAAGACAUUACAGAAGAAUUCAUACGAGAAGAACAUGAAGCCUGUGGAGAGGGCAGCCUUCAGCAAGCUGGGGGACAGGCCCUUGAAGAAGCCCAGGGCGCCUUCCUUUUGCAGCACCUGCUUGGCACAGUCCAUGAGGCCCUUGUAUUUCCGUACCUGGGGAGAGGAAAGGGAUGAAAAUAUGGAUGCCCGCUCUGCUCCCAUCAGCACAGCCCCUGGCACAUCACAGAUCUUAAGAA
RNAcentral lists this non-coding RNA (575 nucleotides) under Pan troglodytes (chimpanzee). The record is from RNAcentral. Lineage: Eukaryota; Metazoa; Chordata; Mammalia; Primates; Hominidae.